UACGAAGGGGGCUAGCGUUGCUCGGAAUCACUGGGCGUAAAGCGCACGUAGGCGGAUUGUUAAGUCAGGGGUGAAAGCCUGGGGCUCAACUCCAGAACUGCCCUUGAUACUGGCAAUCUCGAGUCCGGAAGAGGUAAGUGGAACUCCGAGUGUAGAGGUGAAAUUCGUAGAUAUUCGGAAGAACACCAGUGGCGAAGGCGGCUUACUGGUCCGGUACUGACGCUGAGGUGCGAAAGCGUGGGGAGCAAACAGG
This 253-nucleotide ribosomal RNA is filed under the name uncultured bacterium. Its description in RNAcentral is "partial 16S ribosomal RNA". It matches the Rfam family "Bacterial small subunit ribosomal RNA", at positions 524 to 776 of the family's 1533-position model. The record is from RNAcentral.